Homo sapiens (human) is the source of this 1174-nucleotide long non-coding RNA. Lineage: Eukaryota; Metazoa; Chordata; Mammalia; Primates; Hominidae. The record is from Ensembl.
GGGACUGCAGGCGCCCGCCACCAUGCCUGGCUAAUUUUUUGUAUGUUUAGUAGAGACGGGGUUUCACCGUGUUAGCCAGGAUGGUCUCUAUCUCCUGACCUUGUGAUCUGCCUGCCUCGGCCUCCCGAAGUGCCGGGAUUACAAGCGUGAGCCACCAUUCCCGGCCCAAACAACUCUCAGAUGUGGAAAUGAAGUUCAGAGAAUUUAAGUAAAUUCCCAAGUUCAUGCAGGAGGAGAAGAAGUAUGAAGUGCUUGCUUGGACCUUUCUACUGUGCUUAUUAUUCUGUCUUCUCCUCAUGGCAAGGAUGGGGUCAUGCUUUGUUGUCCAGGCUGGUCUCGUACUCCUGGAAUCAAGGAACCCUUCCACCUCAGCCUCUGAAAGUUCUGGGAUUACAGGCAUAAUUCAUCCUGCCUGGCCAAGAAUCUUUAAUGAUGCUUCCUGUCCUUGAACAUCAGACUUCAAGUUCUUCAGUUUUGGGACUUGGACUGGCCCCUUGCUCCUCAGCUUCCCAAUGGCCUACUGUGGGACCUUGUGAUCAUAAGCUGACAAACGGUUUAUAUCAGAAGGUGGAAUCGUGGGUAUGGUCGAUGUGGCAGGUCCUAAACAUAAAUUGGGUGAUGAAUGGUCCGGACCUGAUUUCGGUUACAAUAGCUCCACUGAAACCAUCCUUGUGAGGUGACUUCUUGGCCACUAAAUCCAAGGACCCCCUUUCAGUCCUUGUCCUCUCAGCAUAUUGGCAGAAUUAUACCGUUCCCUUUUGCCUAAAACACGCCUUCACUUUGAGGUAGGAGGCAGGACUCAAAUCCAUUGGUGAGGCUCAGACAGCAGACCAAAUUGAGGACUAGCAAAACAGGGACAGGAUGAAAGCAGCUUUCCAUAAAACACACUCACCGGUGUGCCAUGUCAGUUUAUCGUUGCCAUGGCAACACCCAGAUGUUACCGCUCCUUUCCAUGACAACAACCUGACAACCCAGAAGUUGCCACCCUUUUCCUAGAAAUGUCUGCAUAAUCUGCCCCUUAAUUUGCAUAUAAUUAAAAGUGGGUAUUAAUAUAACUGCAGAGGUGCCUUGAAGCUUCCACUCUGGGCAUACUGCCUGUGGGGUAGCCCUGACCCACUAGUGUCUCUGCUACUGCUGUACACUGCCACUUCAAUAAAAGUUGCUUUUAGCACCA